This 493-nucleotide ribosomal RNA is filed under the name uncultured bacterium. RNAcentral describes it as "partial 16S ribosomal RNA". It matches the Rfam family "Bacterial small subunit ribosomal RNA", at positions 29 to 523 of the family's 1533-position model. The record is from RNAcentral.
AUUGAACGCUGGCGGCAUGCUUUACACAUGCAAGUCGAACGGUAACAGGUUAAGCUGACGAGUGGCGAACGGGGGAGUAAUGCAUCGGAACGUGCCCGAUCGUGGGGGAUAACGCAGCGAAAGCUGCGCUAAUACCGCAUACGAUCUGAGGAUGAAAGGGGGGGACCGUAAGGCCUCGCGCGAUCGGAGCGGCCGAUGUCAGAUUAGGUAGUUGGUGGGGUAAAGGCCCACCAAGCCGACGAUCUGUAGCUGGUCUGAGAGGACGACCAGCCACACUGGGACUGAGACACGGCCCAGACUCCUACGGGAGGCAGCAGUGGGGAAUUUUGGACAAUGGGCGAAAGCCUGAUCCAGCAAUGCCGCGUGCAGGAAGAAGGCCUUCGGGUUGUAAACUGCUUUUGUACGGAGCGAAAAGGUCCUUUCUAAUACAAGGGGCUCAUGACGGUACCGUAAGAAUAAGCACCGGCUAACUACGUGCCAGCCGCCGCAGUAA